RNAcentral lists this long non-coding RNA (204 nucleotides) under Elaeis guineensis (African oil palm). RNAcentral's name for it is "long non-coding RNA (EGUI_LNC004238)". The record is from RNAcentral. Lineage: Eukaryota; Viridiplantae; Streptophyta; Magnoliopsida; Arecales; Arecaceae.
UAUAAUGUAUUUGAUAUUGAUUGCACAUAAAUACAGAAAAUCAGGGGGUAUUCAAUGAGUUGUAAUGACAUAUUCAGAAGGAUUCUAUGUGAUUUUCGAGGGGUGUACAUGAGGGAUUUAUGACUCAUGAACUGAGUGUUAGCAAGAAGUCUCUGAGUAUAAGCAUGCCGUAUACAAAAAGUUUCUAACUAAAGACAAGGCCAU